This 462-nucleotide ribosomal RNA is filed under the name uncultured bacterium. RNAcentral's name for it is "partial 16S ribosomal RNA". It matches the Rfam family "Bacterial small subunit ribosomal RNA", at positions 28 to 507 of the family's 1533-position model. The record is from RNAcentral.
GACGAACGCUGGCGGCGUGCUUAACACAUGCAAGUCGAACGGUAAGGCCUUUCGGGGUACUCGAGUCGCGCACGGGUGAGUAACACGUGGGAGAUCUGCCCCGCACUUCGGUAUAAGCCCGGGCAACUGGGGCUAAUACCGGCUAAGACUGCGCGGUGCAUACCGUGGGGAUGAAGGAUUUAUCGGUGCAGGCUGGGCCCGCGGCCCAUGAGCUGGUGGGUGAGGUAGUGGCCUAGCAAGGCGACGACGGGGAGCCGGCCUGAGAGGGCGACCGGCCACACUGGGACUGAGGAACGGCCCAGAGUCCAACGGGAGGCAGCAGUGGGGAAUAGUGCACGAUGGGCGCAAGCCUGAAGCAGCGACGCCGCGUGGGGGAUGACGGCCUUCGGGUUGGAAACCUCUUUCAGCGGGGACGAAGCGUGAGUGACGGUACCGGAAGAAGAAGCACCGGCCAACUACGUG